UGAGGUAGUAAGUUGUAUCGUU
RNAcentral lists this microRNA (22 nucleotides) under Alligator mississippiensis (American alligator). Its description in RNAcentral is "ami-miR-98-5p". Its record names the gene ami-miR-98-5p. Lineage: Eukaryota; Metazoa; Chordata; Crocodylia; Alligatoridae. The record is from miRBase by way of RNAcentral.